CUAGCGCAUGAGCACGGGAAGACACCAAGAAACCGCUUACCUUUAACUUUUCUCUGCCCGCCGGGAACCGGGUGCUUGCGGCGGUCCCGGAGCAGCGUGUUCCGGCUGUUGCAGGUCAUCUCAGAACUGAUGCUGCCGGUCGUCGACCUGGAUCUCACCCUCACUCUCACUUCCUUCUUAGUUGGCUUCUCAGGUCCAUUCUCAAGCGCUUGCGGUGGCGCAUCGCCGUCCAUUCCUCCGCUGAAGUACUUCUCUGCAUCAAAGAUUUCGAUCUCGCCAUCGAGAGUUCUCCUCGUCCCUAAGCUUAUUCGGCAUGACAAGCGUUCCGGAGCAGAGUU
This 338-nucleotide long non-coding RNA is filed under the name Musa acuminata (dwarf banana). RNAcentral describes it as "long non-coding RNA (MACU_LNC006227)". The record is from RNAcentral. Lineage: Eukaryota; Viridiplantae; Streptophyta; Magnoliopsida; Zingiberales; Musaceae.